Molecule: long non-coding RNA, 308 nt
Filed under: Androctonus crassicauda
Lineage: Eukaryota; Metazoa; Arthropoda; Arachnida; Scorpiones; Buthidae
Source: RNAcentral
CUACUAUGACGUCACAGGCGGCCAGAUGGCUGCGUGGUAACGCAAAUGCGUUCGGAGGUCCCAGAUCCGGCAUCCCACCAAAACAAUUUUUUCGGGAUUCCGGGCGCCGGCUGGCGGUCCCUAGUCUUUACUAUCUGGUCCCCCUCCGAGGAUGCGAGUGCAGUCUGUGGUUGGAACUAAUUCCGCCCCUUAGUAAUCUCAUUGAUAGGCAAAGGGCGUAAAAACAGUAAAACAAAUCAAAUAAAAAAACAGUGACAUUGCAUCACGUGAUCAUAAUAGUGCUGAUAUGUUCGGCAGCUAUGAACUUC